Molecule: long non-coding RNA, 237 nt
Filed under: Rattus norvegicus (Norway rat)
Lineage: Eukaryota; Metazoa; Chordata; Mammalia; Rodentia; Muridae
Description: long non-coding RNA NONRATT031319
Source: RNAcentral
AGAUUAUUUGUCUUUAUUCAGAAGCAUAGAGUUGUUUGCUGAUUGCAAGAAGAUGUUUCUUUGGCUCUUUCUGAUUGUGUCAGCCCUGAUUUCUUCGACAAAUGCAGAUUCUGACAUAUCAGUGGAAAUUUGCAAUGUGUGUUCCUGCGUGUCAGUAGAAAAUGUGCUCUAUGUCAACUGUGAGAAGGUUUCAGUCUACAGACCAAACCAGCUGAAACCACCUUGGUCUAAUUUUUA